UCUAAUAGCAAAGAUCUGUGAGUAUAGAAUUUGACUGCAGGCAUCUUAAGGACCUUACAAAGCCUUUUGCAUGUGGGCUCAUGGCCCUGGCAAAUCAGAAGCUGCCUGCGGGCGGGAUAACCCCCACUUGGACAGCUUGAUGAAGACAUCACUCAUCAGGCAUCAGCCCUCUCCAGGGCAAAACAAAAACGGUGCUCCCCACCUGCUCUGCAAGUGACACAGCCAGGCGUGAGCCGUGCCAUCCUUGUUGUCCCCGUUGCCACCCGGUUGCUCUGGUGGCAGAGCUGUGAGCCCUGCGACAGCUGCAGCGUGGGAGGUUGGCUCCAUCCAACCCAGCAUCUUCUGCAGCUCAGGCGGCAGAUCCGGGCAAUGCUUCUGAGCUGUGCAAACAACUGACAUAUGUGCGUGCUGUGCUUGCAAACAUCUCCAGAUGCCCUGGGAGCAGUGAGGGCCUGGAUGUGCUGGUGGGUCUCUGUGCUGUGUCCUGCCAUCACCCGGAGAGUGACCCGCUGGUCUGCCCCAGAUUCUUCCUAUGGGGCAUUUGUUGGUCCUUAGAAACAGUCAGAACUGCUGCAUGGACACUGUGCACUGUGAGUAUCACCUUCAUUCAUUGUCCCCAAGGAGUUAGAAUCAUAGACCCCUCACAGCUUUGUUGUCCUCCGGACAUGGCCCAGUGCCUC
Molecule: long non-coding RNA, 680 nt
Filed under: Coturnix japonica (Japanese quail)
Lineage: Eukaryota; Metazoa; Chordata; Aves; Galliformes; Phasianidae
Description: lncRNA (ENSCJPG00005020592.1)
Source: RNAcentral